AACGAACGCUGGCGGCAGGCUUAACACAUGCAAGUCGAGCGCCCCGCCAGGGGAGCGGCAGCCGGGUGAGUAACGCGUGGGAACGUACCUUUUGGUUCGGAACAACUCCGGGAAACUGGAGCUAAUACCGGAUAAGCCCUAACGGGGAAAGAUUUAUCGCCGAAAGAUCGGCCCGCGUCUGAUUAGCUAGUUGGUGAGGUAACGGCCCACCAAGGCGACGAUCAGUAGCUGGUCUGAGAGGAUGAUCAGCCACACUGGGACUGAGACACGGCCCAGACUCCUACGGGAGGCAGCAGUGGGGAAUAUUGGACAAUGGGCGCAAGCCUGAUCCAGCCAUGCCGCGUGAGUGAUGAAGGCCUUAGGGUUGUAAAGCUCUUUUGUCCGGGAAGAUAAUGACUGUACCGGAAGAAUAAGCCCCGGCUAACUUCGUG
RNAcentral lists this ribosomal RNA (431 nucleotides) under uncultured bacterium. RNAcentral's name for it is "partial 16S ribosomal RNA". It matches the Rfam family "Bacterial small subunit ribosomal RNA", at positions 29 to 507 of the family's 1533-position model. The record is from RNAcentral.